CGGCAGCCAAUGAACCCGUGCUCCCCACGGAACACGAUGAUGGGGCGGUUAAUCAGCUUCAUGAGGAAGAGUUCCGAGUCCCCUGUCACAGGGAAAAGGGGCCGUUGAGCUUUACAGCAACAAGGCUAGGCCAGCCAAGGGUUUCCGGUGUAACCCUGGCUGUCCCGGAAUUCAGAGAGCCACCUACCUCUGCUUUAAUGCUGGAUAAGAAGCCCAUGUCACCGCAACCCAGCUAGACUCCAUCCCUGCCCCCCCCGCAAAAGUAUGUAGAAUGACCGAAGACCACACAUAUGAUAUUGAUCUUUGACUUCCACAUUAGAGGUGUACACAUAGACAAUAAAAACAGGAUGUGCCCAGCAGGAGGACUGCCACAAGUUCAAGGCCACCCCGGGCUAUAUAAGACUCUUACAAAAAAAUCUGGGGAUUUAGCUCAGUGGUGGAUUUCUUUAAACUCUAGUGCCCAAAAUGACAAGGAGGAAGGGGAGCAGGGGAGGAAGGAAGCCUUCAAACUUCAAAAUGAACCACCCACAAGGAUGUUCUAAGGCCAAGCAGGAGAACUCUCCCGUGGUCCUGGAUUGGGUCUUAAAGAUUGGUUGCAGUUCGGCAACGCUGCCGUUAUGUAAGGAAUGGCCUGGUUUUGUAGUUACAGAGGCGUUUCCGGAUAAGACACUCCAGUGUCAGGAAUUUGCUUUAAAUACAACCAAAACCAUUGAAUAAACACACAGAUGGAGCUGGUUCUGCAGAAUGUCACAUGGCGGAUGCUGGUAAAAGGGGCUUCGUUACCUGCUUCCUGUAGUGGGCAUGUGUGAAAGCCAAAGAACCAAGUAGGAGCCAGGCACGGCGACCCACGCCCAUCAUCCCAGCACUCCGGAGGCCGACGUUACCCUCGGCGAUGAGUAGGGCCCCAUCCCGAAAGAUAAUAAAAUAAAAUAGAGCCGUGGCUGUAA
Rattus norvegicus (Norway rat) is the source of this 947-nucleotide non-coding RNA. NCBI's taxonomy places the organism in Eukaryota, Metazoa, Chordata, Mammalia, Rodentia, Muridae. The record is from RefSeq and is a predicted model, not a curated record.